This 64-nucleotide transfer RNA is filed under the name Uracentron flaviceps. Its description in RNAcentral is "tRNA-Cys". The record is from RNAcentral. Lineage: Eukaryota; Metazoa; Chordata; Lepidosauria; Squamata; Tropiduridae.
AAGCCCCGGGGCUCUUUAGAGCUCUUUUUCAAAUUUGCACUUUGAUGUGAAACACUUCAGGACU